RNAcentral lists this ribosomal RNA (644 nucleotides) under Bacillus sp. (in: firmicutes). Its description in RNAcentral is "Bacillus sp. (in: Bacteria) partial 16S ribosomal RNA". It matches the Rfam family "Bacterial small subunit ribosomal RNA", at positions 351 to 985 of the family's 1533-position model. Lineage: Bacteria; Bacillati; Bacillota; Bacilli; Caryophanales; Bacillaceae. The record is from RNAcentral.
GCAGUAGGGAAUCUUCCGCAAUGGACGAAAGUCUGACGGAGCAACGCCGCGUGAGUGAUGAAGGUUUUYGGAUYGUAAARCUCUGUUGUUAGGGAAGAACAAGUACCGUUYGAAUAGGGCGGUACCUUGACGGUACCUAACCAGAAAGCCACGGCUAACUACGUGCCAGCAGCCGCGGUAAUACGUAGGUGGCMMSCSYYSUCCGGAAUUAUUGGGCGUAAAGSGCKCGCAGGCGGUUUYUUAAGUCUGAUGUGAAAGCCCCCGGCUCAACCGGGGAGGGUCAUUGGAAACUGGGGAACUUGAGUGCAGAAGAGGAGAGUGGAAUUCCACGUGUAGCGGUGAAAUGCGUAGAGAUGUGGAGGAACACCAGUGGCGAAGGCGACUCUCUGGUCUGUAACUGACGCUGAGGMGCGAAAGCGUGGGGAGCGAACAGGAUUAGAUMCCCUGGUAGUCCACGCCGUAAACGAUGAGUGCUAAGUGUUAGGGGGUUUCCGCCCYUUAGUGCUGCAGCWAACGCAUUAAGCACUCCGCCYGGGGAGUACGGUCGCAAGACUGAAACUCAAAGGAAUUGACGGGGGCCCGCACAAGCGGUGGAGCAUGUGGUUUAAUUYGAAGCAACGCGAAGAACCUUMCCAGGUCUUGAC